AGAGAUUAAGUUCUAAGAACACCUUCCUUACAAGAAGAAAGCAAUUCUUUA
RNAcentral lists this transfer RNA (51 nucleotides) under Phyllocoptes taishanensis. RNAcentral's name for it is "tRNA-Val". The record is from RNAcentral. Lineage: Eukaryota; Metazoa; Arthropoda; Arachnida; Trombidiformes; Eriophyidae.